Molecule: ribosomal RNA, 491 nt
Filed under: uncultured bacterium
Lineage: Bacteria
Description: partial 16S ribosomal RNA
Rfam family: Bacterial small subunit ribosomal RNA
Source: RNAcentral
AGUGAACGCUGCGGUAGGCCUAACACAUGCAAGUCGGACGGCAGCACAGUAAGAGCUUGCUCUUACGGGUGGCGAGUGGCGGACGGGUGAGGAAUACAUCGGAAUCUACUUUUUCGUGGGGGAUAAAGGAGGGAAACUUACGCUAAUACCGCAUACGACCUACGGGUGAAAGCAGGGGAUCUUCGGACCUUGCGCGGUUGAAUGAGCCGAUGUCGGAUUAGCUAGUUGGCGGGGUAAAGGCCCACCAAGGCGACGAUCCGUAGCUGGUCUGAGAGGAUGAUCAGCCACACUGGAACUGAGACACGGUCCAGACUCCUACGGGAGGCAGCAGUGGGGAAUAUUGGACAAUGGGCGCAAGCCUGAUCCAGCCAUACCGCGUGGGUGAAGAAGGCCUUCGGGUUGUAAAGCCCUUUUGUUGGGAAAGAAAAGCAGCAGGUUAAUACCCCGCUGUUCUGACGGUACCCAAAGAAUAAGCACCGGCUAACUUCGUG